GGAGCCGCGGGAGCGGAGGGAGCAGAGGGCGGCUCCUGCGGCGGGCGCUGAGGGACACGCGCCCGCCCGCGGGGCGAUUGCCAGCAGGUGCGGGCGGGUCGAGGGACCCGUGGCACGAGUGUGCGGUGCGGGGCCGCCUGCAGCAUUCCUGCCCGCCCGGCCAGCGCCGGGAGCCUCCAGAGCCGGGAUCUCCGCACGGCCAGCGCCGUGAGCCCCCAGGGCCGGGGGACCCUCACGGCCAGCGCCGGCCCCGCUGCGCGAAGCGGUGCAGGCAGACAGGAAAACCCGGGCCCCGCGGAGGUCAGGAGCGAAUCGGGCAGGCGGGACUGCCGGCACCGGCCGCACGCCAGGAUCGCGGCUUCUCAGUCUUUCCAUGGAUAAGAAAUACUGAGCAUAGAGGAUAUGUACAACAUUGCCUACACAUCAGAUUUUGACUGCCUGUAAGAAGGAUCAUAGAGAAGUCUCAGCUGAAACAUGCAAGUGACAAGGGACUGCAACUGCAAGUACAGACAGCUGGUAGAAUUGUGUGCAAGUGUUGUCCUUGCUCUCCAUCAGUAACAUCCAGGAAAGCAGCACAGGUGGCUGGUGCACUGCCAAGUCCAAGGUGUUAACUGAAGUUGCAGUCUCAUAAGCAAAGAUUUUGUUGAAACAAAUCAAUAAAUAAAAAUAACUUACCUGGACCAGGUUCAAUUCCCCAAAGAGUCUGAUGAACCUCAGAUCUAACACUCGCAGAAUUAAAAUGAUGACGUGUGAGUUAUUGUUUCAAUUGGCCUUGGUAUUACAUGAGUGGAAGGUGGCAAAUGUGAUCCUAAUAACUCCUAAGGGGCUUGAAGGAGACCUGGAGAACUACUGGAGUUGAUUUGCAUCCUUGGAAAAUUGGUAGACACCUGCCUGCAUACAACAGUGAAGAUUCAGUACAGCUUUUGGAGAAGCAAGUCAUGUCUCGUCUUUCUGUAGGAGUUCUUGGAGAAGUCAAAGAGCAUAUAGAAAAUUGCAAGUCAAUCAAUAGGUUGUAUUUGGCUUUCCAAAAAGCUUUUGACAAGGUCCUUAGAGAAUACUUUUAAAGAAAUCAAAUUGUUAUUAAGAGGGACAAUUCUCUUGUGAGUGGUUAAAGGAAGGAAAGUGAAAAGGAAAAAUGGCCAGUUUUCACAUCAGGGAGAGGUUGCCAGUGCAGCUGUGUAGAGGUCUCUCCUAGGACCUGCACUGUCCAGCAGGCUCAUAAAGAGCCUCUGAAGAGAAUAAAAAGUGAAAUAAAGUAGCAAAAGAACAGGUUUCAGAAUAGCUUGGACUAAAACUGAGCAUGCAAAACUACAUUGUUCUAGUAGACAGUAAAACAGAAGGUGAAACUCAACAUUGUCAAAAGAAAGGAAUAAUUCUUCAGUGGAGGGAUAUUUUGGAUUCCCCUUUUAAAAUUCCAAAACUGCUGUUACAUCUCCAUACAUGUCUAUAAAAAUGUCAAUUUAAGGCUAUAUUGUAAUCAAAACGGCAAACACAAAUAUUGGGAAUUCUUAGGAAAGGGAAUGAGCAUCAAUAUAUCAGUGUAUAAAACCACUGACUUUGUCCUGUCUCAAAAACAUUACAUCACAACUAAGCAAGGUACAGUAAAGGCAAAGAGCUAUGAUCAGAUGUAUAGUAUGUACAGUCUUAGUAAACCCUAAAUAGACUAGGCCACUCCAGCUUUACAAAAAUUAUAGCCAUAGGGAGAUAUAAAUAGAAGUAUAUAAAAUAAGGGACGUGGAAAAAGUAAAAAAACCCAAUUAUUUUUCCUAAAGAACUUAGGAAUCACAGUGAUCAGGGGACAGACUUAAACCACACUUAACAUAUUGUAUUCAUUCAAAUAGUUUAAUUUAGAAUAGGCUUGGGGUUGCUUUGUAUUCCACUUGGAAACACAUGCUUUUAUUCUGAGAAAUGACAUGUUAGCAUGGACCUGUACGUGUGCACACUGAUAGCAACACAACACAAAUAACAGGUAUGUCAGCUUUGCUCAUUGUCUUGCUAGUUUGUUUUAUCUCAGGUUACUGUCUUGUGUAUGAGUGUAGUUUAAUGGAGUCUUCAUAUGUAAAUUAAAAUACACAGCACAGUGUUUACUGUGGUUUUGUACAGUACAUAUACAACCACACAGUUAUCCUAAUGUUAAAGGUACUGUUGCUGUCUGUCAAAAAAAAAAAAAUCAAAUUUGUCAGAAAUAGUGAUUUUGUGAAGCUGGUACUUUGCUCCUAGCAUGAGAUUAGGGCCCCAACAUAUUUUAUUAAGUUAGCCCAACAGUAAAAAGGUUCUUCAUUCUUAAUUACUUCUUCAGGCCCCACAAAACAACAUUCUAGAGUGUUUAUUAAAAUUAGACAGCUAGUCUUGCACUGCCUAGGGAAGAAAGUUAUUGCUUUUUGCAUAAGGACAUGGUUACGCAGUGAAUUCCUUAAUCUCAAUUACCUCUUGUGUAACUGGAUUACAGAGGAAAAUAUUAACAUGAGUAAUUUGUUUGCUGAUGUGCAACUCCCUCAUUCUGAGCCUUCUAACAGUACAAUAAGUCUUCGUCCAAAAAAUAAUUGGUAAAGUCUAUGGCUAAAGCAGCCAAUUAAUUUGAUUUACACUUACCCAUCUGAACUGAAGGUGACUAUCAACCCCAGGCAAAAAGCUCUGAUUUUAUUUCAGCAGCUAAGUAAAAGCUAAGAUCUCAAAGGAAGAACCAUGCACAAAAAAUUGCUCCGUGUAAGAUUAAUGUUUCAAGAACAUAAUAGUCUACUGACCUACCCCAGAGCAUCAGCAGCAAAGGCAGCAGAGAGGAUUACAGGAAUACCAGCAUACCAUGACACUCUUCUAACUGGAGCUGAUUUGGGAAAACAGAUCUAGGAAUUAAUCUUUGCGUUCUUUCACAUUGGAAGAAAACUGGUGCAGCUAUUUGGGAUAGAAGCUCUAUUUCCAUAUUCUUUUAAGAGAAUAGAAAGUACAGAGACACACUCUGCUGUGGAUAUGCAAAUAGGCUGGCAUAAUCCUAGAAAAAUAUGCAAUAAUUAAUGCAAAGUAAUCUUUAAUCAAAUAAGUAUACAACAAAAUGGAGCUAAAAAGAUCCACCUCCAAUAAUGCUGGUGAAUAACUAAAGUAGGAUGAAUAAUUCAAGCAAGAAAAUUCUGAAGUCACAUAAAUCUGAUAACUGCUGUUUUCCUACAUUUGUUUCCUUUUUUCACACCUCUGGACCUACUACACGCUAUUUUCUGAAAAUAGACUUUGUAAUGGCAAAUUAAUGAGCUUCUAUGAUACUGCUAUUUUAUCACAUCAUUCAUUUUUAUAUUGAAGAUACAAUAAAACAUUUUUAAAUUUGAAACAUCAAAAUAUGGAAAUGCCCAGUUUUAUUUCAAUGUUAGUAUUUCAUCAAACUAAUUGCUUUUCUCAGCAAUAUCCCAGUGAAGACACUACCCUGCAUUAGUCCAAUCCCUUUUCACAGAAACCUUCAGGUUGGAAAAGACCUUUGAGGUCACUGAGCCCAACCAUUGCCCCAUCACUGCCGAGUCCACCACUGCACUGUGUCCAUUAAGUGCUACAUCUACACAUCUUUAAAAUACCUUUAAGGAUAGUGACUCCACCACUUUCCUGGCUAGAUUGUUCCAGUGCUUGACAACCCUUGUGGUCCAGAAAUUUUUCCUCAUGUCCAACCUAAACCUCCCCUAGUACAACUUGAGGCAGUUUCCUCUGUUUCCUGUGAGGAGAGAUUGAAACAUUUCAUCACCAUCACCACCAUUUUAACAGGGAAGCAACAGUUCAGAUUUGCUGUGGAAGCCAAGUCAAUUUCUUUUUUUUUCUGGUGGGAUUGUUUUUACAUCAAAUCAUAUUUUCCAAGUAUUUUGAAUGUUUUGAUACAUUUUGUAAUGUACCUGAUCUAAUCCACAUUGUGUAUACAGUAACAAAACAUUCAUAGCACCUGAUUUAAUUAAAUAUUCAGUUAGUCUGUUUAAUUGUGCAUUUCUCUCUUGCUGCAAUUUUUUAAUUUCCUUUCAUAGAAAUUCUCCGUCUCUCUUUUCUACUUCCUUCUAUAAUACAGCCCUGUCGUGUAUCCCUGUUAGGAUGGUUGUAAUGAAAAUGUACAUCACGCUGAGGAUAUGUUUGUGCUACAGCUCUGUCUUUAUUUAAUUAAACACAGCUCCAAUUAAGUUCUCACAGUAAUCACCUCCAGUGUUUUGGGCUCAGAUUCUUCUGGCAGGCCCAUUUCCAGGGGAUAUCAGGAAUGGCAGAGUGGGUGAGAUUGGAUACUGAGUAUCUGAUACCUAAAUUUCCUGUUAUUCAUAAAUCCCACUUGAAGUAGGGUCUCCUUAUGGGUGUAGGAAAUUUCCAAGGGUCCUUAAAGUGAAAGGACAACAGCAAAGUGGGAGAUUAUGACAGUGUUUGUCAGUUAGUAUCCAGCUAACUCAUGCAGUAUGAUGUUGCUCCAUAUAUGAUUUUUAUCACCAGAUGGAGAAGAAAAAAAUAAAUCUGUUACUGCCUAUACAUUACUAUUUGCUGCUAAGUAAAAAUAUUCCUUUUGAUUCCAGCAGGUGUGGAUUUAAAGGCUGCCACACUGACAUUAAGGAUGACAGCUAUUCAGGCACACAGGAACGUGUUUUCAUGAAUAAGGUGCUCAGAUUUUUUUCUAAUGUGUUGUUUUCCCUGUGCUUAUUUCAAACACUCUCCCUUUUUCCUCUUUGACUUACAGUAGCUAAAUAAGAGACAUGUUUUGCAUAAUGAAAAGGCAAAAGAGAUUAACUCUAGGUCGCCUUUGCCUGCUGAAGUAUUUUGUCAAGUCCCAUUUCAAGGAGUCUUAAAAAAUCUUCUUAAAAGUAUGACUUUGAAGGAAUUUUUUCCUGUUGCAUAAGCUGAAAAUGCUUCUGAUAAUAGCAAAGGAAGGUUUAAGAACAGCAUUCAGGUCAUGACCCCUCUCAGAUAUAUCUUCAGAUGAGCAUGAGUUUGAAACUUCACUUGUAGUUUCCAUGAGUUACAUUGCCAACUGUUAGGGAUUUGGAAGGAUGUAGAACCCAGUUAAAGCAAAUAGCUCUGAUACUGCUUUAAAGAAUUUCUCAAUGACUGCUUGCAACUUACCAUAUUUCUUACAUUACUUCUGGAUAAGAAAUGAAAUGCUGGGGUGACAUAUUUGUUACAAUUCUAUAAGAAAGCUGUGGUAUAAAUACAAAUAAACUACAGAAUACAAAUUCUUUAAGAAAGCUGUGGUAUAAGUUUCAAAUAUAAAUAUACACACACAUUCAAACUCAAAAAGUCUGUAAAUAGUUUGUUUUUUUUUUUUUUUUUUUUUUUUUUUUUUUUUUUUUUUUUUUUUUUGGUGAAUACUGCACCAAUAGCAAAUCUCAUGUUUAGAAGGAAGUUAUUUUUCAGGAGACUUCCUGCUAUCUUUCUGCUAAGUUUGUGCAGAGAAGCCUCAUUUCUACAUAAAACUCAGUACAGGUAAGCAGCUGUGAUUUUGCUGGUGUCCAGAAUAUUGUCAUGUUCUGCAACAUGUUCUAGUACUGGCACUGCAGGAUGACAUCUUAAAAAACUCUCCAUUGUACCUAUCCUGAGUUGCAGGCUCUUGUUAGAAUUAAAAAUAAGUGGAAGGAAAAAACCAUAUUAAGAUUCCAGUGCAAUAAAGAGACAGCUGCUUUCUAUGCUAUUUUCUCGAU
Molecule: long non-coding RNA, 5639 nt
Organism: Passer domesticus (house sparrow)
Lineage: Eukaryota; Metazoa; Chordata; Aves; Passeriformes; Passeridae
Exons: 3
Source: RefSeq, a predicted model, not a curated record